CCUACGGGAGGCAGCAGUGGGGAAUAUUGCACAAUGGGGGAGACCCUGAUGCAGCGACGCCGCGUGAGUGAAGAAGUAUUUCUGUAUGUAAAGCUCUGUCAGCAGGGGAGAAAAUGACGGUACCUGACCAAGAAGCACCGGCUAACUACGUGCCAGCAGCCGCGGUAAUACGUAGGGUGCAAGCGUUAUACGGAUUUACUGGGUGUAAAGGGAGCGUAGACGGCAGGUCAAGUCUGGAGUGAAAGGGGGAGGCUCAACCUCGGACUGCCGUGGAAACUGGCAGGCUGGAGUGAAGGAGAGGUAAGUGGAAUUCCUAGUGUAGCGGUGAAAUGCGUAGAUAUUAGGAGGAACACCAGUGGCGAAGGCAGCUUACUGGACUGUAACUGACGUUGAGGCUCGAAAGCGUGGGGAGCAAACAGGAUUAGAUACCCGAGUAGUC
Molecule: ribosomal RNA, 439 nt
Filed under: uncultured bacterium
Lineage: Bacteria
Description: partial 16S ribosomal RNA
Rfam family: Bacterial small subunit ribosomal RNA
Source: RNAcentral